ACACUCCUACGGGAGGCAGCAGUGGGGAAUUUUGGACAAUGGGCGAAAGCCUGAUCCAGCAAUGCCGCGUGUGUGAAGAAGGCCUUCGGGUUGUAAAGCACUUUUGUCCGGAAAGAAAUCCUUGGCUCUAAUACAGUCGGGGGAUGACGGUACCGGAAGAAUAAGCACCGGCUAACUACGUGCCAGCAGCCGCGGUAAUACGUAGGGUGCGAGCGUUAAUCGGAAUUACUGGGCGUAAAGCGUGCGCAGGCGGUUUGCUAAGACCGAUGUGAAAUCCCCGGGCUCAACCUGGGAACUGCAUUGGUGACUGGCAGGCUAGAGUAUGGCAGAGGGGGGUAGAAUUCCACGUGUAGCAGUGAAAUGCGUAGAGAUGUGGAGGAAUACCGAUGGCGAAGGCAGCCCCCUGGGCCAAUACUGACGCUCAUGCACGAAAGCGUGGGGAGCAAACAGGAUUAGAUACCCGUGUAGUCCC
This 472-nucleotide ribosomal RNA is filed under the name uncultured organism. Its description in RNAcentral is "partial 16S ribosomal RNA". It matches the Rfam family "Bacterial small subunit ribosomal RNA", at positions 333 to 797 of the family's 1533-position model. The record is from RNAcentral.